RNAcentral lists this ribosomal RNA (253 nucleotides) under uncultured bacterium. RNAcentral's name for it is "partial 16S ribosomal RNA". It matches the Rfam family "Bacterial small subunit ribosomal RNA", at positions 524 to 776 of the family's 1533-position model. The record is from RNAcentral.
UACGUAGGGUGCAAGCGUUAAUCGGAAUUACUGGGCGUAAAGCGUGCGCAGGCGGCUUUGCAAGACAGAUGUGAAAUCCCCGGGCUUAACCUGGGAACUGCAUUUGUGACUGCAUGGCUGGAGUGCGGGAGAGGGAUGCAGAAUUCCAGGUGUAGCGGUGAAAUGCGUAGAUAUCUGGAGGAAUACCGGUGGCGAAGGCGGCAUCCUGGACCGACAUUGACGCUGAACGGCGAAAGCUAGGGGAGCAAACGGG